UACGAAGGGUGCAAGCGUUACUCGGAAUUACUGGGCGUAAAGCGUGCGCAGGCGGUUUGCUAAGACAGGUGUGAAAUCCCCGGGCUUAACCUGGGAACUGCGCUUGUUACUGGCAGGCUUGAGUGUGGCAGAGGGGGGUGGAAUUCCACGUGUAGCAGUGAAAUGCGUAGAGAUGUGGAGGAACACCGAUGGCGAAGGCAGCCCCCUGGGCUAACACUGACGCUCAUGCACGAAAGCGUGGGGAGCAAACAGG
Molecule: ribosomal RNA, 253 nt
Filed under: uncultured bacterium
Lineage: Bacteria
Description: partial 16S ribosomal RNA
Rfam family: Bacterial small subunit ribosomal RNA
Source: RNAcentral